This 69-nucleotide transfer RNA is filed under the name Ictidomys tridecemlineatus (thirteen-lined ground squirrel). RNAcentral's name for it is "Spermophilus tridecemlineatus (thirteen-lined ground squirrel) tRNA". It matches the Rfam family "tRNA". Rfam says of the family: Transfer RNA (tRNA) molecules are approximately 80 nucleotides in length. Their secondary structure includes four short double-helical elements and three loops (D, anti-codon, and T loops). Further hydrogen bonds mediate the characteristic L-shaped molecular structure. tRNAs have two regions of fundamental functional importance: the anti-codon, which is responsible for specific mRNA codon recognition, and the 3' end, to which the tRNAs corresponding amino acid is attached (by aminoacyl-tRNA synthetases). tRNAs cope with the degeneracy of the genetic code in two manners: having more than one tRNA (with a specific anti-codon) for a particular amino acid; and 'wobble' base-pairing, i.e. permitting non-standard base-pairing at the 3rd anti-codon position. Lineage: Eukaryota; Metazoa; Chordata; Mammalia; Rodentia; Sciuridae. The record is from Rfam by way of RNAcentral.
GGGGUUGUGGCUCAGUGGUAGAGUGCUCGCCUAGCAUGUGUGAGGCCCUGGGUUCGAUCCCCAACACCA